Molecule: microRNA, 22 nt
Filed under: Mus musculus (house mouse)
Lineage: Eukaryota; Metazoa; Chordata; Mammalia; Rodentia; Muridae
Also listed under: 1 other name
Description: mmu-miR-598-3p
Gene: mmu-miR-598-3p
Source: miRBase by way of RNAcentral
UACGUCAUCGUCGUCAUCGUUA